AAGAAAUAAUCAUGCAUUUCCUGCCUUUGAUGAGAGACAUGCUAUUGCUUUGUCAUCUCAUAGACAAAGGACAUUAGAUCAAGAUGAUUGGAAGCAAAUCCCUCUGGACAGCUGCCGUCCCAAACCUGAUGUGUGCUCGCUUUGAUGGUGGAGGAGGGGAGAAGACAGGAAGAAAGAAAAAGAACCGUCAGGAAUCAAGCGAACUGUCCUGAUUAAUCUUCCUUAGAACUACCAAUUCUAUGCACUUAAAGCCUUCACCAACUAAGCACUGAUGAUUCCAAAUGAAAAGGAAGACCAAUCAGAAAAGCAAUCUAGCCAUCAGAUGUUGGUGAACUAUUUGACCUGUGUGUACCACUGUGCUUCAGAUAUAGCUCAGUUGGUGUGACUGGCGGCAGAGGCUGCUGACAAUUCCUCUGGUGCCAUGAGAUGACAGAUCUCCCAUGCCAGACCCUCCUGCCUUAGGUACUAGGCUGCUAAUGGCCCAAAGCAAUGAAGCCAAGAGAUCAUGGACUGAAACUUCUGAAGCCAUGAGCUGAAAUAAACCUU
Cavia porcellus (domestic guinea pig) is the source of this 546-nucleotide long non-coding RNA. RefSeq lists it as uncharacterized. The transcript is spliced from 3 exons. Lineage: Eukaryota; Metazoa; Chordata; Mammalia; Rodentia; Caviidae. The record is from RefSeq and is a predicted model, not a curated record.